CCGAAUGGGGAAACCCACCCUUAGGGGUAUCCUAUACUGAAUACAUAGGUAUAGGAGGCGAACCUGGUGAACUGAAACAUCUAAGUAACCAGGGGAAAAGAAAUCAAAUGAGAUUCCCACAGUAGCGGCGAGCGACCUGGGAGCAGCCUGCAAGUGAUAUCAGCUUGGUUAGUGGAACGGUCUGGAAAGUCCGGCAAUAGAGGGUGAUAGCCCCGUACACGAAAACCUCGCUGUGGUACUAAGCUUGCGACAAGUAGGUCGGGACACGUGUUAUCUUGACUGAACAUGGGGGGACCAUCCUCCAAGGCUAAAUACUACUGAC
RNAcentral lists this ribosomal RNA (322 nucleotides) under uncultured bacterium. RNAcentral describes it as "bacterial LSU rRNA". It matches the Rfam family "Bacterial large subunit ribosomal RNA", at positions 114 to 479 of the family's 2925-position model. The record is from RNAcentral.